AAAACCAUUGGGCCGCCGGUCUACCGAGCAAUUUCACUCGUUCGGUGGAACAUUUUCCCUUUGUCGU
This 67-nucleotide microRNA precursor is filed under the name Bombyx mori (domestic silkworm). RNAcentral's name for it is "mir-2774 microRNA precursor family". It matches the Rfam family "mir-2774 microRNA precursor family". Lineage: Eukaryota; Metazoa; Arthropoda; Insecta; Lepidoptera; Bombycidae. The record is from Rfam by way of RNAcentral.